CAUGGCAGNUCGAAGCGGUACANAAUGGGGAAGCCUUGCUCCCCUGUAUGCUUANCGAGCNGCACGGACUGGAGUUAACACGUUGUGGUUAACCAUGCCGUGCUAAGACCUNGNUAUAACUCCGGGAAACCGGGGCUAAUACCGGAUGCUUGUUUGAACCGCAUGGUUCAAACAUAAAAGGUGGCUUCGGCUACCACUUACAGAUGGACCCGCGGCGCAUUAGCUAGUUGGUGAGGUAAUGGCUCACCAAGGCAACGAUGCGUAGCCGACCUGAGAGGGUGAUCGGCCACACUGGGACUGAGACACGGCCCANACUCCUACGGGAGGCAGCAGUANGGAAUCUUCCGCAAUGGACGAAAGUC
RNAcentral lists this ribosomal RNA (362 nucleotides) under Bacillus sp. SD-45. RNAcentral describes it as "partial 16S ribosomal RNA". The stretch from base 40 to 362 matches the Rfam family "Bacterial small subunit ribosomal RNA", at positions 47 to 383 of the family's 1533-position model. Lineage: Bacteria; Bacillati; Bacillota; Bacilli; Caryophanales; Bacillaceae. The record is from RNAcentral.